Non-coding RNA from Oryza nivara, 189 nucleotides. The record is from Rfam. NCBI's taxonomy places the organism in Eukaryota, Viridiplantae, Streptophyta, Magnoliopsida, Poales, Poaceae.
UGUAUCUAAAAUACUACUCCCUCCUUUUAACUUUGACCAUCCGUCUUAUUUAAAUUUUUUUUAUUGUUAUAACAUGAUAAAACAUGAAUAACACUUUAUGCGUGACUUAUGUUCUCAAAUUUUUUUAAAAUUUUUUUAAAUAAGACGGACGGUCAAAGUUGGGCACGGAAAAUCAUGGCAGCACUUAUA